Long non-coding RNA from Rhododendron vialii, 374 nucleotides. RefSeq lists it as uncharacterized. The transcript is spliced from 2 exons. The record is from RefSeq and is a predicted model, not a curated record. NCBI's taxonomy places the organism in Eukaryota, Viridiplantae, Streptophyta, Magnoliopsida, Ericales, Ericaceae.
AAAAGCUGCUGAUGUUGGUGCCGAUAUUAUCGACAAGGCUGAGAGGAACAUCCAGGACGAUGAUCCUAGAAUUGAGCAGUGAUAGCUUACAGUGUUGGUGAAAUUGCUGGUUUGGGAUACUAUCUAAUCGGCCUUUACGCAGAAUCAACCUGUGCUGCUCAUGUUUUUGGCUCCAUCUCCUCAUUUGGGAUCAAUCAUAACUACAAUGUUUUAUCCUUUGCUCAUUAGUUGUAUAGGUAUUUCUCUUUGUUUGCCCGACACAUCAGGGCGUGUUAAGUAUUUGUUUGCGUGAGCAGGGCCCGCCCAUCAUAAGUAUUUGUGUAUGUGUCUAUUUUAUUGAGAAUUUUUGUCCCAGUGAGAUGCUAUUUCUACCA